This 468-nucleotide ribosomal RNA is filed under the name uncultured bacterium. Its description in RNAcentral is "partial 16S ribosomal RNA". It matches the Rfam family "Bacterial small subunit ribosomal RNA", at positions 28 to 507 of the family's 1533-position model. The record is from RNAcentral.
GACGAACGCUGGCGGUGUGCUUAACACAUGCAAGUCGAACGGUAAGGCCCUUUCGGGGGUACACGAGUGGCGAACGGGUGAGUAACACGUGAGUAACCUGCCUUCAUCUCUGGGAUAACAGUCGGAAACGGUUGCUAAUACUGGAUAUGAGCUUGCAAGGCAUCUUGUGGGUUGGAAAGAUUUUUUUUGGUUGGGGAUGGACUCGCGGCCUAUCAGCUUGUUGGUGAGGUAGUGGCUCACCAAGGCUUCGACGGGUAGCCGGCCUGAGAGGGCGACCGGCCACAUUGGGACUGAGAUACGGCCCAAACUCCUACGGGAGGCAGCAGUGGGGAAUAUUGCACAAUGGACGGAAGUCUGAUGCAGCAACGCCGCGUGCGGGAUGACGGCCUUCGGGUUGUAAACCGCUUUCAAUUGUGACGAAGCUUUUUUGUGACGGUAGCAGUAGAAGAAGCACCGGCUAACUACGUG